This 498-nucleotide ribosomal RNA is filed under the name uncultured bacterium. Its description in RNAcentral is "partial 16S ribosomal RNA". It matches the Rfam family "Bacterial small subunit ribosomal RNA", at positions 30 to 523 of the family's 1533-position model. The record is from RNAcentral.
AUUGAACGCUGGCGGCAUGCCUUACACAUGCAAGUCGAACGGUAACAGGUCCUCGGAUGCUGACGAGUGGCGAACGGGUGAGUAAUACAUCGGAACGUGCCUAGUAGUGGGGGAUAACUACUCGAAAGAGUGGCUAAUACCGCAUGAGAUCUACGGAUGAAAGCAGGGGAUCGCAAGACCUUGUGCUUCUAGAGCGGCCGAUGGCAGAUUAGGGAGUUGGUGGUAUAAAAGCUUACCAAGCCGACGAUCUGUAGCUGGUCUGAGAGGACGAUCGGCCACACUGGGACUGGGAAACGGCCCAGACUCCUACGGGGGACAGCAGUGGGGAAUUUUGGACAAUGGGCGAAAGCCUGAUCCAGCAAUGCCGCGUGCAGGAUGAAGGCCUUCGAGUUGUAAACUGCUUUUGUACGGAACGAAAAGCCCCGGGUUAAUACCCUGGGGUCAUGACGGUACCGUAAGAAUAAGCACCGGCUAACUACGUGCCAGCCGCCGCGGUAA